UGGCUCAGAACGAACGCUGGCGGCGUGCUUAACACAUGCAAGUCGAACGAUGAAGCUGGAGCUUGCUCUAGCGGAUUAGUGGCGAACGGGUGAGUAACACGUGAGCAAUCUGCCCUUGACUCUGGGAUAACUGCGGGAAACUGUAGCUAAUACCGGAUACGACGCUUGGAGGCAUCUCCGGGCGUGGAAAGAAUUUCGGUCAAGGAUGAGCUCGCGGCCUAUCAGCUUGUUGGUGAGGUAAUGGCUCACCGAGAAUACAGACGGGUAUCCGGCCUGAGAGGGCGACCGG
RNAcentral lists this ribosomal RNA (289 nucleotides) under uncultured bacterium. RNAcentral describes it as "partial 16S ribosomal RNA". It matches the Rfam family "Bacterial small subunit ribosomal RNA", at positions 20 to 307 of the family's 1533-position model. The record is from RNAcentral.